Molecule: ribosomal RNA, 265 nt
Filed under: uncultured archaeon
Lineage: Archaea
Description: partial 16S ribosomal RNA
Rfam family: Archaeal small subunit ribosomal RNA
Source: RNAcentral
AGACGUCUACAUUAGACUACCCCUGUAGUCCCAGCCGUAAACUAUGCGCGUUAGGUGUAUCGGUGACCACGAGUCACCGAGGUGCCGAAGGGAAACCGUGAAACGUGCCGCCUGGGAAGUACGGUCGCAAGGCUGAAACUUAAAGGAAUUGGCGGGGAGCACCACAACGGGUGGAGCUUGCGGUUUAAUUGGACUCAACGCCGGGAAGCUCACCGGAUAAGACAGCGGAAUGAUUGCCGGGCUGAAGACUCUGCAUGACUAGCUG